AGUUGGUCAAGAGACUGGCAGAUUGUGUAUCAGCUGUGAUACUGAAAGGAUGUGUAUUCCUUGAAGUCUUGAAUCAGUUAGAUUCUGGAGGACUUGUAUUUAAAGUUUAUAUGUUUAAACUUUGUAGCUAACUUUGUCAAUGUGUCUGAAGUAAUGUACAUUUGUUAAUAAACUUGUAUAUAUAAAUACCGUAUUAUUUAGUUACUGGGAAUUUACCACAGGA
RNAcentral lists this long non-coding RNA (223 nucleotides) under Mytilus galloprovincialis (Mediterranean mussel). The record is from RNAcentral. Lineage: Eukaryota; Metazoa; Mollusca; Bivalvia; Mytilida; Mytilidae.